RNAcentral lists this ribosomal RNA (1487 nucleotides) under uncultured bacterium. RNAcentral describes it as "bacterial SSU rRNA". It matches the Rfam family "Bacterial small subunit ribosomal RNA". The record is from RNAcentral.
AGAGUUUGAUCCUGGCUCAGAAUCAACGCUGGCGGCGUGCCUAACACAUGCAAGUCGAACGAGAAAGGGUUCUUCGGAACCUGAGUAAAGUGGCGAACGGGUGAGUAACGCGUGGGUGAUCUGCCCUUUGGAGGGGGAUAACUCGGGGAAACCCGGGCUAAUACCGCAUAAGCUUGGAGCUGUAAGCGGCUUCAAGGAAAGUCUUCGGAUACCGAAGGAGGAGCCCGCGUCCGAUUAGCUAGUUGGUGAGGUAAGAGCUCACCAAGGCCACGAUCGGUAGCCGGUCUGAGAGGACGGACGGCCACACUGGGACUGAGACACGGCCCAGACUCCUACGGGAGGCAGCAGUGGGGAAUUUUGGGCAAUGGGCGAAAGCCUGACCCAGCAACGCCGCGUGGAGGACGAAGAUCUUCGGAUCGUAAACUCCUGUCUAGAGGGAAGAAGAAAGUGACGGUACCUCUGGAGGAAGCCCCGGCUAACUCCGUGCCAGCAGCCGCGGUAAUACGGGGGGGGCGAGCGUUGUUCGGAAUUACUGGGCGUAAAGGGCGCGUAGGCGGUUUCGGAAGUCAUGGGUGAAAGCCCUCGGCUCAACCGAGGAAUUGCCUGUGAAACCACGGAACUGGAGUGCUGGAGAGGAGAGUGGAAUUCCCAGUGUAGCGGUGAAAUGCGUAGAUAUUGGGAGGAACACCGGUGGCGAAGGCGGCUCUCUGGACAGACACUGACGCUGAGGCGCGAAAGCCAGGGGAGCGAACGGGAUUAGAUACCCCGGUAGUCCUGGCUGUAAACGAUGAACACUUGGUGUGGGAGGUAGAUGAAGUCCUUCCGUGCCGGAGAGAACUCAUUAAGUGUUCCGCCUGGGGAGUACGGCCGCAAGGCUGAAACUCAAAGGAAUUGACGGGGGCCCGCACAAGCGGUGGAGCAUGUGGUUUAAUUCGACGCAACGCGAAGAACCUUACCGGGGUUUGAACUGUAUCUGUCACUUUGCAGAGAUGUAAAGUUUCCUUCGGGAACGGAUACAGAGGUGCUGCAUGGCUGUCGUCAGCUCGUGUCGUGAGAUGUUGGGUUAAGUCCCGCAACGAGCGCAACCCUUGUCUGUAGUUGCCAUCAGGUGAAGCUGGGCACUCUACGGAGACUGUCGGCGAAAAGCCGGAGGAAGGUGGGGAUGACGUCAAGUCCUCAUGGCCUUUAUGUCCCGGGCUACACACGUGCUACAAUGGGCGGCACAGAGGGCAGCGAACUCGUGAGAGUCAGCGAAUCCCAGAAAACCGCUCUCAGUUCGGAUUGCAGUCUGCAACUCGACUGCAUGAAGGUGGAAUCGCUAGUAAUUGCGGAUCAGAACGCCGCAGUGAAUACGUUCCCGGGCCUUGUACACACCGCCCGUCACAUCACGAAAGUGGGCUGUACUAGAAGCCGCCGGCCUAACCCUUCGGGGAGGGAGGCGUCGACGGUAUGGCUCAUGAUUGGGGUGAAGUCGUAACAAGGUAACC